GACGAACGCUGGCGGCGUGCUUAACACAUGCAAGUCGAACGGAAAGGCCCUGCUUUUGUGGGGUGCUCGAGUGGCGAACGGGUGAGUAACACGUGAGUAACCUGCCCUUGACUUUGGGAUAACUUCAGGAAACUGGGGCUAAUACCGGAUAGGAGCUCCUGCUGCAUGGUGGGGGUUGGAAAGUUUCGGCGGUUGGGGCUGGACUCGCGGCUUAUCAGCUUGUUGGUGGGGUAGUGGCUUACCAAGGCUUUGACGGGUAGCCGGCCUGGGAGGGUGACCGGCCACAAUGGGACUGAGAUACGGCCCAGACUCCUACGGGAGGCAGCAGUGGGGAAUAUUGCACAAUGGGCGGAAGCCUGAUGCAGCAACGCCGCGUGCGGGAUGACGGCCUUCGGGUUGUAAACCGCUUUCGCCUGCGACGAAGCGUGAGUGACGGUAAUGGGUAAAGAAGCACCGGCUAACUACGUG
This 468-nucleotide ribosomal RNA is filed under the name uncultured bacterium. RNAcentral's name for it is "partial 16S ribosomal RNA". It matches the Rfam family "Bacterial small subunit ribosomal RNA", at positions 28 to 507 of the family's 1533-position model. The record is from RNAcentral.